CCCAGCUGUCGGCAACUAACUAGGUUAAACUGUACUUAGGCAAGCGCUACACUGCUGGGAGAAGAGCAGCUAAUAGCUGAUGGGCAUCCUAGGCCUGGUUAAUGCCAAGUUUAGGUGAACUACACCAGUGUGCCAGCAAAAUGCUUAUUCUAGCAUCCAUGUGCAAGUGUGCGUGGACCCU
This 181-nucleotide small nucleolar RNA is filed under the name Ochotona princeps (American pika). RNAcentral's name for it is "Small nucleolar RNA SNORA74 (ENSOPRG00000023700.1)". The record is from RNAcentral. Lineage: Eukaryota; Metazoa; Chordata; Mammalia; Lagomorpha; Ochotonidae.